Molecule: non-coding RNA, 73 nt
Organism: Desmophyllum pertusum
Lineage: Eukaryota; Metazoa; Cnidaria; Anthozoa; Scleractinia; Caryophylliidae
Source: the annotation of a GenBank genome assembly
GGCGCGGUGGCCUAAUGGUUAGCGUGUUGGACUCCAAAUUGAGCGAUCCUGGUUCAAGGCCUGGCCGGGGUCA